AUACAUGCAAGUCGAGCGGACAGAAGGGAGCUUGCUCCCGGAUGUUAGCGGCGGACGGGUGAGUAACACGUGGGUAACCUGCCUGUAAGACUGGGAUAACUCCGGGAAACCGGAGCUAAUACCGGAUAGUUCCUUGAACCGCAUGGUUCAAGGAUGAAAGACGGUUUCGGCUGUCACUUACAGAUGGACCCGCGGCGCAUUAGCUAGUUGGUGGGGUAAUGGCUCACCAAGGCGACGAUGCGUAGCCGACCUGAGAGGGUGAUCGGCCACACUGGGACUGAGACACGGCCCAGACUCCUACGGGAGGCAGCAGUAGGGAAUCUUCCGCAAUGGACGAAAGUCUGACGGAGCAACGCCGCGUGAGUGAUGAAGGUUUUCGGAUCGUAAAGCUCUGUUGUUAGGGAAGAACAAGUGCGAGAGUAACUGCUCGCACCUUGACGGUACCUAACCAGAAAGCCACGGCUAACUACGUGCCAGCAGCCGCGGUAAUACGUAGGUGGCAAGCGUUGUCCGGAAUUAUUGGGCGUAAAGGGCUCGCAGGCGGUUUCUUAAGUCUGAUGUGAAAGCCCCCGGCUCAACCGGGGAGGGUCAUUGGAAACUGGGAAACUUGAGUGCAGAAGAGGAGAGUGGAAUUCCACGUGUAGCGGUGAAAUGCGUAGAGAUGUGGAGGAACACCAGUGGCGAAGGCGACUCUCUGGUCUGUAACUGACGCUGAGGAGCGAAAGCGUGGGGAGCGAACAGGAUUAGAUACCCUGGUAGUCCACGCCGUAAACGAUGAGUGCUAAGUGUUAGGGGGUUUCCGCCCCUUAGUGCUGCAGCUAACGCAUUAAGCACUCCGCCUGGGGAGUACGGUCGCAAGACUGAAACUCAAAGGAAUUGACGGGGGCCCGCACAAGCGGUGGAGCAUGUGGUUUAAUUCGAAGCAACGCGAAGAACCUUACCAGGUCUUGACAUCCUCUGACAACCCUAGAGAUAGGGCUUUCCCUUCGGGGACAGAGUGACAGGUGGUGCAUGGUUGUCGUCAGCUCGUGUCGUGAGAUGUUGGGUUAAGUCCCGCAACGAGCGCAACCCUUGAUCUUAGUUGCCAGCAUUUAGUUGGGCCUCUAAGGUGACUGCCGGUGACAACCGGAGGAAGGUGGGGAUGACGUCAAUCAUCAUGCCCUUAUGACUGGGCUACCGUGCUACAUGGA
Molecule: ribosomal RNA, 1190 nt
Filed under: Bacillus sp. (in: firmicutes)
Lineage: Bacteria; Bacillati; Bacillota; Bacilli; Caryophanales; Bacillaceae
Description: bacterial SSU rRNA
Rfam family: Bacterial small subunit ribosomal RNA
Source: RNAcentral